Molecule: ribosomal RNA, 422 nt
Filed under: uncultured bacterium
Lineage: Bacteria
Description: partial 16S ribosomal RNA
Rfam family: Bacterial small subunit ribosomal RNA
Source: RNAcentral
GAAUUUUGGCCAACGGGGGCAACCCUGAUCCAGCCAUCCCGCGUGUGCGAUGAAGGCCUUCGGGUUGUAAAGCACUUUUGGCAGGGAAGAAAAGGCUCUGGCUAAUACCUGGACCUGCUGACGGUACCUGCAGAAUAAGCCCCGGCCAACUACGUGCCAUCAUCCGCGGUAAUCCGUAGGGUGCAAGCGUUAAGCGGAAGUACUGGGCGUAAAGCGUGCGCAGGCGGUUCGGCAAGAAGGAUGUGAAAUCCCAGGGCUUAACCUUGGAACUGCAUUCUUAACUGCCGGGCUAGAGUAUGUCAGAGGGGGGUGGAAGUCCGCGUGUAGCAGUGAAAUGCGUAGAGAUGCGGAGGAAUACCGAUGGCGAAGGCAGCCCCCUGGGAUAAUACUGACGCUCAUGCACGAAAGCGUGGGGAGCAAAC